GCACCUCUUCCAGCCAAAUUUUCUGGAGCAUUUCGAGGUCUUAUCAAAAGCUUGUUGCGGAAGAACCCAGAACUUAGGCCCAGUGCAGCUGAGUUGCUAAGGCACCCCCUACUUCAACCCUAUGUUGAAAAGAUUCAUCUCCAAACUAGGAAUCCUAGGUGUGAUGCCAUAGAUGAUAACUGGGAUGAUACUGAUUAUAAUUGCAUAGACAAAGCUACAUUACCAGAAGCAGAAGAUGAAAGGACAAAAGAUCCCAGUAUAUCAGAAGCUGAACUUGAUUCCUUUUAUACUGAUGACAGAAUAAAACCUACCUUGUCUGAUCUGGAACGGAGGUUGGCUAAGUUAAAGGCUCAAGAUUCCUUUAGGAGAGUGGCUGCUACCAAAGAAGUUACUUCAAAAGCUUCCAAUGAUGUAAGGAAUCCCAGAUUAUCACGAGCAAAAACAUUUGCUACAUCCAAAAGACGACCAGAAUUGUCUAAAAAUCAACAAUCGGUAAGUUUUGAUGCGAGUAUGUAAUCAUUUUCUGUAUGUUUGGUAGGGAGUAGUAGAGUAUUAAACUGAAUCUGAUUGAUGAAAUUUCAUACGCAUUACUUAAGCUUCAUGCAGUUGAUUAACAAUGCAAUAAUUUGUAUUUUUACUUCUGCAUUUUCACUGACUGACAUAUGAUUGCUGAUUGUACUAUUACCAUACUGGUUAUUGUGCUUAUUCAGCAUGGAUUAGCCGACUAGCACUUACU
Molecule: long non-coding RNA, 736 nt
Organism: Spinacia oleracea (spinach)
Lineage: Eukaryota; Viridiplantae; Streptophyta; Magnoliopsida; Caryophyllales; Amaranthaceae
Exons: 3
Source: RefSeq, a predicted model, not a curated record